RNAcentral lists this ribosomal RNA (485 nucleotides) under uncultured bacterium. RNAcentral's name for it is "partial 16S ribosomal RNA". It matches the Rfam family "Bacterial small subunit ribosomal RNA", at positions 28 to 523 of the family's 1533-position model. The record is from RNAcentral.
GACGAACGCUGGCGGCGUGCUUAACACAUGCAAGUCGAACGGUGAAAUCGGAGCUUGCUCCGCUGGAUCAGUGGCGAACGGGUGAGUAACACGUGGGCAACCUGCCCUUCACUUCGGGAUAACUCCGGGAAACCGGGGCUAAUACCGGAUAUGACCCCUGCGGGCAUCCGCGGAGGUGGAAAGUUUUUCGGUGAAGGAUGGGCCCGCGGCCUAUCAGCUUGUUGGUGGGGGAGUGGCUCACCAAGGCGACGACGGGUAGCCGGCCUGAGAGGGCGACAGGCCACACGGGGACUGAGACACGGCCCAGACGCCUACGGGAGGAAGCAGUGGGGAAUAUUGCGCAAUGGGCGAAAGCCUGACGCAGCAACGCCGCGUGCGGGAUGACGGCCUUCGGGUUGUAAACCGCUUUCAGCAGGGAAGAAGCCGCAAGGUGACGGUACCUGCAGAAGAAGCACCGGCUAACUACGUGCCAGCAGCCGCGGUAA